GAAAUGCGAUAAUUAAUGUGAAUUGCAGAAUUCAGUGAAUCAUCGAGUCUUUGAACACACAUUGCGCCCCCUGGUAUUCCCGGGGGCAUGCCUGUCCGAGCGUCAUUGCUGCCCUCAAGCACGGCUUGUGUGUUGGGCUUCCGUCCCUGGCAACGGGGACGGGCCCAAAAGGCAGUGGCGGCACCAUGUCUGGUCCUCGAGCGUAUGGGGCUUUGUCACCCGCUCCCGUAGGUCCAGCUGGCAGCUAGCCUCGCAACCAAUCUUUUUAACCAGGUUGACCUCGGAUCAGGUAGGGAUACCCGCUGAACUUAAGC
This 314-nucleotide unclassified non-coding RNA is filed under the name plant metagenome. RNAcentral describes it as "partial contains 5.8S ribosomal RNA, internal transcribed spacer 2, and large subunit ribosomal RNA". The stretch from base 1 to 105 matches the Rfam family "5.8S ribosomal RNA", at positions 50 to 154 of the family's 154-position model. The record is from RNAcentral.